GUUAGGUUUAGGUUUAAGGACACUGUUGGUUAGGUUUAAGAACACUAUCGGUUAGGUUUAGGUUUAAGGACACUGUUGGUUAGGUUUAAGAACACUAUCGGUUAGGUUUAGGUUUAAGAACACUAUCGGUUAGGUUUAGGAACACUGUCGGUUAGGUUUAGGAACACUGUCGGUUAGGUUUAAGGACACUGUCGUUUAGGUUUAAGAACACUGUCGGUUAGGUUUAGGUUUAAGGACACUAUCGGUUAGGUUUAUUGUAGGGAGGUUGGAUUUGUUGAUUUAAAACUCGUUCCUGUAUUAACCUUAAAACUUACUAUGUUUGAGAUAGAGGUGGAUUUUGCAGAUAUGUCUGUCUGUCUGUCUGUCUGUCUGUCUUUCUCUUCCUGUCUUUUCUAUCUAUCUGUCUUUCUGUAUGUUUUGUCAAUUUUUUUGGCUUUAAAAUUGUUCCUUUUCUUAAAGAUAAAUGAUUUGCUUUGAUAUUUUAUUAUGUAAUUUAAUGACAUUCAGACAUUUUAAGUUUGACGCAAGUGAAUAAACACUUUUUAGGACCACUGUACAAAUAUCCAUCUCAGACAUACACACUCGUAAUUACCUUCUUGAGUUGCCAAGAUGCAUUUGUGUUGAUGUUAGAAAAAUAUCUGAUGCAAACCUUUUGCCAUAUGUAUCAUUUCAUGUGUGUGUGUUUAUGGUACUCUCUGUCUCUCUCUCCAGUUCUAGUCAAAUGAGUGAUUUUAUAAUUGUUUGAAAUAAGCUGAAAUUCCUCCAUCUUUCCUUCUUUGGCCUUUCCCAUGACCAGCGCAGUGUGUGUCUGGAAGGAAUACAACCUCAUCAACUUCCAUCAGUCCAUCACAACUGAUUUGUCAGUUCAACAGAGUCAUCUUGUCUAUCUUAAUGAAAGUCUAUUCCAUUCAAUUCUAUCCAUUUGUUUUUAUUAACACACUUGGCCUAAUUUUUAUACAGCAAGUACUUUGAAAAUUAAUUGAAAAAUUGUGUGUGUGUGUGUGUUUAUGGAACGCUGUUUCUUCACAGUUAUAAUUGUUCUAUUCUCACAUCUUCAUCACCUUGAAAGUGACCCAUCAAAUUUAUGUUUGCUUUUCAAAAGUGAUUAUUAUAUUUUUGUAAAUGAUUUCAGUAAUUUAGCAAAGUUCUGCCAGAUGUACACCCUAUCUACACUAGAAAAAUCCCAUUCUCUCAUUUUCUUCGUAGGUGAAAUGAUUAUUAACUACAACUUAUAAACUUUUAAAGACAGACCUACCAUGAGCUCUGAGGUUGUUAAUCAAUGGUAUAUUCUUCUGUUAAAGCCAUCAGUCCAUGUUAUUUCUACUACAUUGUUUAAAAACUACCCAUAAUCCUAAAGAAAGAUCCACCAAUCAGAGAAUCGUGGUGAAAAAAGUGCGCCAAAAGAACUCUGCAGUGACCGCCCACUCCCAUGUUGCACUGUGAAUGAUGCAUUUGAGUCGCUCUCCCUAAAAUCUUAAACUACUGAUAUAUUUUUAUAUCUGAAAGAGUGGUUGGACACUGUUACGCUCUAUAAAUCCAAUUGUGCAAAGUUUUAGCCUGAUUGGAUAAAAAAGUGUGGGCCGCUCCCCUGACUCUUUUUAAUUUAGUUCUCUCAACACCUAUUCUACUUACACAACAUUUAAUCCUUGGUAUUAAAAAAACACUUAC
This is a long non-coding RNA of Myxocyprinus asiaticus (Chinese sucker), 1668 nucleotides long. RefSeq lists it as uncharacterized. The transcript has 3 exons. Lineage: Eukaryota; Metazoa; Chordata; Actinopteri; Cypriniformes; Catostomidae. The record is from RefSeq and is a predicted model, not a curated record.